CGCGUAGGCGGCCUGGUCAGUCGGGUGUGAAAGCCCGGGGCUCAACCCCGGAACGGCACCCGAGACGGCCAGGCUGGAGACCGGGAGAGGAGGGUGGAAUAGCCAGUGUAGAGGUGAAAUUCGUAGAUAUUGGCUGGAACACCGGUGGCGAAAGCGGCUCUCUGGCCCGGUUCUGACGCUGAGGCGCGAAAGCGUGGGGAGCAAACAGGAUUAGAUACCCUGGUAGUCCACGCCCUAAACGAUGUGUGCUGGGCGUCGGGGGGCUUGCCCCUCGGUGCCGGAGCUAACGCGGUAAGCACACCGCCUGGGGAGUACGGCCGCAAGGUUAAA
RNAcentral lists this ribosomal RNA (330 nucleotides) under uncultured bacterium. RNAcentral's name for it is "bacterial SSU rRNA". It matches the Rfam family "Bacterial small subunit ribosomal RNA", at positions 568 to 898 of the family's 1533-position model. The record is from RNAcentral.